Molecule: transfer RNA, 97 nt
Filed under: Neurospora tetraspora
Lineage: Eukaryota; Fungi; Ascomycota; Sordariomycetes; Sordariales; Sordariaceae
Also listed under: 1 other name
Description: tRNA-Ile
Source: RNAcentral
GCCCGAUUAGCUCAGCUGGUUAGAGCGUCGUACUAAUAUCGGUUCGUCUGAUAUCAAGUCCAUGCGAAGGUCAACAGUUCAAUCCUGUUAUUGGGCA